RNAcentral lists this transfer RNA (72 nucleotides) under Eschrichtius robustus (grey whale). It matches the Rfam family "tRNA". From Rfam's summary of the family: Transfer RNA (tRNA) molecules are approximately 80 nucleotides in length. The record is from Rfam by way of RNAcentral. RNAcentral also lists the same sequence under 3 other names. Lineage: Eukaryota; Metazoa; Chordata; Mammalia; Artiodactyla; Eschrichtiidae.
UCCUUGGCAGUCCAGUGGUUAGGACUUGGCGCUGUCACUGCCAGGGCCCGGGUUCGAUCCCUGGUCAGGGAA